RNAcentral lists this ribosomal RNA (483 nucleotides) under Tomocerina purpurithora. Its description in RNAcentral is "partial large subunit ribosomal RNA". It matches the Rfam family "Bacterial large subunit ribosomal RNA", at positions 1815 to 2610 of the family's 2925-position model. The record is from RNAcentral. Lineage: Eukaryota; Metazoa; Arthropoda; Collembola; Entomobryomorpha; Tomoceridae.
ACAUUUCUUUUAGAUUAAUUUAAAAGUAAAGUCUGCCCACUGUAAAAAAUGAAGGGCCGCGGUAUUUUGACCGUGCAAAGGUAGCAUAAUCAUUAGUCUUUUAAUUGGGGAAUGGUAUGAAUGGCUAAAUGAUUUUUUGCUUUUAUUAUUAUUGGCUUAUAAUUUUGAUUUUAAGUGAAAAUACUUAAAUACUUUAGUUAGACGAUAAGACCCUAUAGAAUUUUAUUUUUAUAGUAUAUUUUUAUAUUAUUGAAGUUUAAAUGGGGCAUUUUAUGAAUAUUAAUAAUUUCUUUUUUAAUAAUUUUAAAAUAUCUUAGUUUAAAGAUUUUAAAAAAAUUACCUUAGGGAUAACAGCGUAAUUUUUUUUGAGAGUUCAUAUCGACAAAUUAGAUUGCGACCUCGAUGUUGAAUUAAAAUACCUAUAUGGAGCAGAAUUUGUAUAAGGUAGUCUGUUCGACUAUAAAAUUUUUACAUGAUUUGAGU